GAGAGGUUGCGUCGCUGCCGCUCGUUUCCUACCCACACCUUACCUGUGGGCUGUGCUCGGUCCUUCUUUCUCCAUGGCGAACUACACCGGCGGCAGCGGGGAUGACCAGGCGCGGUGGUUCCCGCGCUCGUCAUGCUCCACAAGCUGAACCUACCAGUGUAGAUGGUGGCCCGGGUUGGGGCCGACAAGGAGGCGGCCACACUACGUGAGACGGUCAACUGCAUCUUCAACCUCCAGAUGGUCACCCCGACGACGCUGGUGCCCCGCGAGCGGUAUCCCACAUGUACCUCGCCGCGACGCAACCCUUGCUCUGUCUUCCAUCAAUCACUUUGAGGUGUACAUGAUGACGUGGAGGCACACAACCACCGCCGUAUACGACGGACACACAACUCGGUAAUGGUGGUUCCAGGACCAACACCUCCCGCAACUGCUCCUCCUCUUGGUUGUUGUGGUGCGCUGGUAGCUUCUUCAUCUUCUGUAUGUAUGAUCUGAUCAUACUGAACAUGUAUCUGUUGGAUCACUAGAAGUCCCCGUUCCCUCCUGACUUCCAGUUACAUCUACACUACUCCAAGAUCCAGAGGCGCGCCAUUGUCGCGGUAGAUGGCAGCAGCAAGGGCGACAAGGCGGAGGAGGGAGGUAGAGCGUUCAGCCCAUCCAGGUUACGACCACCAAAUCGGCGUUGAUAUCAUUCGUGCUGGUGCUGCCACACUUCGCGGAGGUGCUGGCCAGCCGACACAUACGUGGAAUUUAUCACGGGAACCUACCUAUAUCCAAGCACUUCUCUGAGGCAUUGUACACCUUCCGUCUCGGCCAAAACGAUCACACCAUAGGCUACUCGGCCAAUAUGACCACCGAACAGAUUGAAGCCUAUGACAACGAUCUCGUGGAGCAAUGCAGGUACAGUUAAAACUAACUUGCUCAUAGUCUCGCUCAUAGCCGUGAAAAAGCAAGUGCCGAUUCUUUAAAACAACAUCAAGUUGCACAAUAACGUCAAGUUCUGAUUCAUGCUUGCUUCGAAUUCUUGGUUCACGAAAAGAAUUUGUAACUUUAUCCUGUAGAUUGGUUCAUGCUCCAUAUUUUGAUAAAAUUGACAAAUGUCAGAUUUGAUUCGUUAGAUUCGGUUCAUGAAUGCAAGCACAUCCAAUCAUCAUCAUCUUAAUUUGGGCUCUAGCGCUCUGCUCUUUUUGUGAGGAAUGUGGUCAGCAUUGCUGCACAACACAUCGAUGGUGGUAGAAACAACACCCAAAAGGAGCGACGUCACAAAGAUGGAGGACGCGAGCUGAGCUGACCCAUUGCCAAUUUGCCAUGGAAGCAACAUGAGCCACAUUGAAGCCUGUGGCCAAGAAGGUUCUUAUCAAGACCGCAGCUUGCCCUGAGCAGGCCACGAAGAACGUCACUGACUCUGAUAAGCAUAGGAAGCCGUUAGAGGAUGUUGUCGGUGGCUCUACCCUCGAAAAUCUGCAAGAAGAAGGUCAUCAACUAGCUGACCUCUGUGCUCAACCAUUGGCCCAAGGUGAGAAAUCCGAUUCAUCAAAAAUCUAUCUCCUUUAGUUACUGCUCGCGGGUUGUGUAUCACCUCAGCUGAUUUCAGUGCCUUGAGCUUUGCUUGCGUUUGUGAAUGGCAUCACAUGAGCGGGAUGAGAUCAAGAAGUUCAACAGCAAAAUGAGCUCACCAUUGUCGAGUGUUUACUACAUCUAGGUCAUCUACAAGUACUAGAAGGAAUCAUAUGUAACUACAACCAUCCUCUUCAUCAUGUCUUUUAUUUUGCAGGUAUCAUGUUUUUUAUGUUUACGGGUAGCAUUUAUGUUAAAGGCAAUUCUUUAAUCCUUUCUGAGCUGAAAUACAAGAAUGUAAUCACUUAAUUAGUGUAUGAUGGAGUGUUUGCUGAUACAAAGCAAUAUUUAUGUGAAGCCUCACUAAUGUAAACUAAAGACAAACUAUUUGG
Molecule: long non-coding RNA, 1946 nt
Organism: Triticum aestivum (bread wheat)
Lineage: Eukaryota; Viridiplantae; Streptophyta; Magnoliopsida; Poales; Poaceae
Exons: 3
Source: RefSeq, a predicted model, not a curated record